GACACUGACUACCUGUAGUUAGCACAGACCUCACAUUUAAGGCUCAGCCCCACAAGAUUGCCCCCUCCUUCAGACACCCAUGACAAGUUCCAGGUUGUCACCAGUUCUUCUGGUUGACUGGCUAUAAAUCAGGGUUCCCAUAACCCCUAUCUCGGGUUCAAUAGUUUACUAGAAUGACUCACAGAACUCAAGAAAGUGCUUUACUUACUAUUGCCGGUUUAUUAUACAACUCAGAAGCAGCCACAAGAAAGAGGUGCAUAGGACAAGAUAUGGGGAAGGGGCACCAAGCUUCCGUGCCCUCUCCAGCACCUUGACCUGUUCACCAACCCAGAAGCUCUUUGAACCCCAUGGUUAGGGGUUUUUAUGGAGGCUCCAUCCCAUAAGCAUGGUUGAUUAAAUCAUCCACAGUUGCUGAUCAGCUCAAUCUCCAGGCCCUCGCCCCUCUCCAGAGCUCGUUGAAUCGGGAGCCUUAAGAACCCCCGCCCCCAGUUGCUCUUUCUCUUCCCUCUGGCAUGGUGGCUAGAUCCCUAGGCAAUGAAGUGGAAGGAGGCCUCCUGCUGACCCACGGUGAACCUACUGUGGGAAAGAACCAGAAAGAACAGCUGCCGCUUAGAGCAGGUGGCGUCUCAAGCCUGUGUGUUACUGCAGCAAAACCGACGGCCGCCUGUGUCCUGAACACCUGAGGGAUACAGCGUCCUCGGGGUGCACUGGCUGCCUUCACGUCCUUGAGCUUGGGGAAGUCCUGCCCAAACUUGGUUCUCCUGGAGUCUGUUUCAUCUUUGAGGCAACCACUACGUUUCCAUCAACUCCCUCUUCUGCUUCAGUUAAACACAGGUAGGUUUUGCUCUUUGCAACUGACAGCCUGGGCUGAUGGAAGAAGCUCUUUCAGCUGUCAUCAAGCAACACCUCAGGAUGGCGAGUCUGCAGGCAGCUGGAGGCCUCCAGGGCGCUGGUGUCUGAAGCAAAGGGCCGGGCAGUCCCCAGCGUGCCUGGGUUUGGAUCCUGGCUGCUCCAGUCGCCUGACAUGGGUCCUUGCACACAUUAACCUCUCAACACCAGUGGCCACAUCUGAAAUAUUGCGAGAACAAUACUCAGGAUUGCUGGGGAGCUGUAGGAGUGGAAUUAUGCAACGCAUGGCGUGUUGCCCGUAACAGAUUUCUGGGCCACGGUGGUGGUGCCAACACAGGCCGGCCAGGGCGUGCACGGGGUCUGGCUUUGUCUUCUUGUCUCCCUCUGCUCCUCCCUCCUCCGGCCGAGGGAGCCCGGCCUGUCCUUCUGGCCACAGUUCGGGAGGCCGUCGUCCUCAAAGCUGGGCACCAGCUAUGGUUCUCAGU
RNAcentral lists this long non-coding RNA (1334 nucleotides) under Papio anubis (olive baboon). RNAcentral describes it as "lncRNA (ENSPANG00000046828.1)". The record is from RNAcentral. Lineage: Eukaryota; Metazoa; Chordata; Mammalia; Primates; Cercopithecidae.